AUUGAACGCUGGCGGCAUGCUUUACACAUGCAAGUCGAACGGCAGCGCGGACUUCGGCCUGGCGGCGAGUGGCGAACGGGUGAGUAAUACAUCGGAACGUGCCCAGUAGUGGGGGAUAGCUCGGCGAAAGCCGGAUUAAUACCGCAUACGACCUGAGGGUGAAAGCGGGGGAUCUUCGGACCUCGCGCUAUUGGAGCGGCCGAUGGCAGAUUAGCUAGUUGGUGGGGUAAAGGCCUACCAAGGCGACGAUCUGUAGCUGGUCUGAGAGGACGACCAGCCACACUGGGACUGAGACACGGCCCAGACUCCUACGGGAGGCAGCAGUGGGGAAUUUUGGACAAUGGGCGAAAGCCUGAUCCAGCAAUGCCGCGUGUGUGAUGAAGGCCUUCGGGUUGUAAAGCACUUUUGGCGGGAACGAAAAGGACUGUGCCAAUACCACGGUUCGAUGACGGUACCCACAGAAUAAGCACCGGCUAACUACGUG
RNAcentral lists this ribosomal RNA (484 nucleotides) under uncultured bacterium. RNAcentral's name for it is "partial 16S ribosomal RNA". It matches the Rfam family "Bacterial small subunit ribosomal RNA", at positions 29 to 507 of the family's 1533-position model. The record is from RNAcentral.